Molecule: ribosomal RNA, 457 nt
Filed under: uncultured bacterium
Lineage: Bacteria
Description: SSU rRNA
Rfam family: Bacterial small subunit ribosomal RNA
Source: RNAcentral
AGAACGAACGCUGGCGGCAUGCCUAACACAUGCAAGUCGAACGUGAUCCAUGACUUCGGUUGUGGUGAAAGUGGCAAACGGGUGAGUAACGCGUGGGAAUCUGCCCAGAGGUAGGGAAUAACCGCGGGAAACUGCGGCUAAUACCCUAUGUGCCCUACGGGGCAAAGAUUUAUCGCCUUUGGAGGAGCCCGCGUCGGAUUAGGUAGUUGGUAGGGUAACGGCCUACCAAGCCUACGAUCCGUAGCUGGUCUGAGAGGAUGAUCAGCCACACUGGGACUGAGAUACGGCCCAGACUCCUACGGGAGGCAGCAGUGGGGAAUAUUGGACAAUGGGGGCAACCCUGAUCCAGCAAUGCCGCGUGAGUGAUGAAGGCCUUCGGGUUGUAAAGCUCUUUCGGCGGGAAGAUGAUGACGGUACCCGCAGAAGAACGCCCGGCUAACUUCGCGCCAGCAGCCGC